This 186-nucleotide ribosomal RNA is filed under the name uncultured Bacteroidota bacterium. Its description in RNAcentral is "uncultured Bacteroidetes bacterium partial 16S ribosomal RNA". It matches the Rfam family "Bacterial small subunit ribosomal RNA", at positions 338 to 524 of the family's 1533-position model. The record is from RNAcentral. Lineage: Bacteria; Pseudomonadati; Bacteroidota.
CCUACGGGAGGCAGCAGUGAGGAAUAUUGCGCAAUGGAGGAAACUCUGACGCAGCGACGCCGCGUGAAGGAUGAAUGCCCUCUGGGUUGUAAACUUCUGUAGAGAGGGAAGAAUGUCCGCCUUCGGCGGAUUGACGGUACCUCUAAAGUAAGCAUCGGCUAACUACGUGCCAGCAGCCGCGGUAAU